This 408-nucleotide ribosomal RNA is filed under the name bacterium enrichment culture clone ALO1_GLFRUDD03GN787. RNAcentral describes it as "bacterial SSU rRNA". It matches the Rfam family "Bacterial small subunit ribosomal RNA", at positions 9 to 417 of the family's 1533-position model. The record is from RNAcentral.
GAGUUUGAUCUUGGCUCAGAUUGAACGCUGGCGGCAUGCCUUACACAUGCAAGUCGAACGGCAGCACGGGAGCUUGCUCCUGGUGGCGAGUGGCGAACGGGUGAGUAAUGCAUCGGAACGUAUCCUGGAGUGGGGGAUAACGUAGCGAAAGUUACGCUAAUACCGCAUAUUCUGUGAGCAGGAAAGCGGGGGACCUUCGGGCCUCGCGCUCUUGGAGCGGCCGAUGUCGGAUUAGCUAGUUGGUGAGGUAAAGGCUCACCAAGGCGACGAUCCGUAGCAGGUCUGAGAGGAUGAUCUGCCACACUGGAACUGAGACACGGUCCAGACUCCUACGGGAGGCAGCAGUGGGGAAUUUUGGACAAUGGGGGCAACCCUGAUCCAGCCACGCCGCGUGAGUGAAGAAGGCCU